UACGAAGGGGGCUAGCGUUACUCGGAUUGACUGGGCGUAAAGGGCGCGUAGGCGGCUUGUACAGUCAGACGUGAAAUUCCUGGGCUCAACCUGGGGGCUGCGUUUGAUACGUGCGGGCUUGAGUUCGGAAGAGGGUCGUGGAAUUCCCAGUGUAGUGGUGAAAUACGUAGAGAUUGGGAAGAACACCAGUGGCGAAGGCGGCUAUCUGGACGGUUUCUGACACUAAGACACGAAAGCGUGGGGAGCAAACAGG
This 253-nucleotide ribosomal RNA is filed under the name uncultured bacterium. RNAcentral's name for it is "partial 16S ribosomal RNA". It matches the Rfam family "Bacterial small subunit ribosomal RNA", at positions 524 to 776 of the family's 1533-position model. The record is from RNAcentral.